Molecule: ribosomal RNA, 253 nt
Filed under: uncultured bacterium
Lineage: Bacteria
Description: partial 16S ribosomal RNA
Rfam family: Bacterial small subunit ribosomal RNA
Source: RNAcentral
UACGAAGGGGGCUAGCGUUGCUCGGAAUCACUGGGCGUAAAGGGUGCGUAGGCGGGUUUUUAAGUCAGGGGUGAAAUCCUGGAGCUCAACUCCAGAACUGCCUUUGAUACUGAAGAUCUUGAGUCCGGGAGAGGUGAGUGGGACUGCGAGUGUAGAGGUGAAAUUCGUAGAUAUUCGCAAGAACACCAGUGGCGAAGGCGGCUCACUGGCCCGGUACUGACGCUGAGGCAUGAAAGCGUGGGGAGCAAACAGG